RNAcentral lists this unclassified non-coding RNA (336 nucleotides) under uncultured fungus. RNAcentral's name for it is "partial contains 5.8S ribosomal RNA, internal transcribed spacer 2, and large subunit ribosomal RNA". The record is from RNAcentral. Lineage: Eukaryota; Fungi.
AACGCAUAUUGCACUCUCUGGUAUUCCGGAGAGUACGCCUGUUUCAGUAUCAAAAAUGUCAUCCAAAGUUUUGAUUUGUUUGUUUAUCAGACAAGCCAAAAUUUUAUGGGAUUUGGGUUUUGCAGAAAUUUUUCUGCUGGCCUUAAAUAAUCUAGCCACAAAAAAACAUAGGCGAUAAGGCGUAAUAGUUGGUACUUUUGGUUCCAUCCUUUCGCUGAAACCUGUCUUUUUUGAAUCAAUGGCUCGACAAUAUGGAAAAAACGAAAUAUAUUUAUAUACAAUAUAUUUCACCAUUGUUUGGAUCUGAAAUCAGGUGGGACUACCCGCUGAACUUAA